Molecule: long non-coding RNA, 502 nt
Organism: Acanthochromis polyacanthus (spiny chromis)
Lineage: Eukaryota; Metazoa; Chordata; Actinopteri; Pomacentridae
Exons: 2
Source: RefSeq, a predicted model, not a curated record
CAUCUUGGAAUAUGGAAUAAGAUUACUGUCAAAAGUAUUCAUCCACAAUUCUAACCAUUCGUAUUCGUAAUGUUAAACAUUUGUAUGUUAAUAAAAAACUUGUACACAAAAUUCUGCUGUCAUAUGCAUGAGUUUGAUAAAUUAAGGGUUAGGAUUGUUUUUACGAGUAUGAACCUAAAAGUUGUGAGUGCAACUCUAAUUUCUACGACUAAGAAGUCCUCCCUGUGAGGACGAAUUCAAGUUUAUGGGUACGAGCAGAGCUCUAGAGAUAGUAAGAGUUGCGACACUCCCAUAGGGUGCCGUUGUACGCUUUCUUCCAGUCUACUUCCGGGUUGUGGAGGCUUGUUUAGUUCCAAGCACCGCUUCAACAGUGAUAGCCACCGUUCAUUUGCACUGCAGGUCGUUGAGUAUAUGUGGAGCAUCCCGAGAGCCCUCACUGAAGACACGAAGACCCUCAUUGUUUCUCCCAUUGUCAAUAAAACAUACUAUUUCAUUCAUCAAA